UGCAGUGUGGCUCAGUGGUAGAGCACUUACCUGGCAUGUAUGAGGCACUGGGUUCGACCCUCAGCACCACAU
Molecule: transfer RNA, 72 nt
Filed under: Marmota monax (woodchuck)
Lineage: Eukaryota; Metazoa; Chordata; Mammalia; Rodentia; Sciuridae
Rfam family: tRNA
About the family: Transfer RNA (tRNA) molecules are approximately 80 nucleotides in length. Their secondary structure includes four short double-helical elements and three loops (D, anti-codon, and T loops).
Source: Rfam by way of RNAcentral